AGAACGAACGCUGGCGGCAUGCCUAACACAUGCAAGUCGAACGAGAUCCUUCGGGGUCUAGUGGCGCACGGGUGCGUAACGCGUGGGAAUCUGCCCUUAGGUACGGAAUAACUCAGGGAAACUUGUGCUAAUACCGUAUGAUGUCUUCGGACCAAAAGAUUUAUCGCCUAGGGAUGAGCCCGCGUAGGAUUAGCUAGUUGGUGGGGUAAAGGCCUACCAAGGCUACGAUCCUUAGCUGGUCUGAGAGGAUGAUCAGCCACACUGGGACUGAGACACGGCCCAGACUCCUACGGGAGGCAGCAGUGGGGAAUAUUGGACAAUGGGCGAAAGCCUGAUCCAGCAAUGCCGCGUGAGUGAAGAAGGCCUUCGGGUUGUAAAGCUCUUUACCCGGGAAGAUAAUGACUGUACGGAGAAUAAGCCCCGGCUAACUCCGCGCCAGCAGCCGC
Molecule: ribosomal RNA, 446 nt
Filed under: uncultured bacterium
Lineage: Bacteria
Description: SSU rRNA
Rfam family: Bacterial small subunit ribosomal RNA
Source: RNAcentral